Molecule: non-coding RNA, 6095 nt
Organism: Meleagris gallopavo (turkey)
Lineage: Eukaryota; Metazoa; Chordata; Aves; Galliformes; Phasianidae
Source: RefSeq, a predicted model, not a curated record
AAUUCUAUGAUUCUAUCAUUCUAUCAUUCUACGUCAAUGAGGUUGGAGACUGGAGCUCUCCAGAAAAGAAACUGCUUGGAUGUGGCCUGGUGGAAUUUUGCAUGCUCUGAUUUCAUGUGAACAUGGGAAGCUGUUGUGUCUGUCCUCUGAACCAGGAGCACCUCUACAGGACCAGCACUCUCACAGGCAGUGCUGCAGUGAUUUGUGCUGGACACCCAAAAUCAGCUCCGUGCCCCUUCAGAAUAUACAUGGGAGUCCUGCUGUGCCCAUACCUCUUGCAGUCUGUAUAUUGCCCUUAAAUUAAGUCUUUCCCCCACUGUGCCGUGAGACACAGGAGGAAUUGGCAAAGGCCAUUUUUCUCAUUAACUGAGCUAAUUAAUCACCUUUUGUCUUUUUUAGGUUGCUCGGAGGGCUAAUUGCAGCACAUGGCUAAGAGUGAGUGAGCCUCCAAGCCAGAUGGAAUUGAACUGGAAGUGAAUGUUAUUGAUCUUGGAAAUGUGCUUAUGUUGGGGCCAGAACUGACUGGGAAUACUCCCCUGGAACCUCUGUUGCCUCAAGAAAAUAUCUACCAAGAAAUUAUGGAAUCAAGGCCAAAUGAAUCAGGAUUCAUUCAGGAGAUGAAAGUUCAGAGUUGAACCAAACCUGUUCCAGAGCAGUUUUAGACUGAAACGUUUCUGUGUUUCCCAUUUUGACAUCCUGAAAUUCCUCAUGGAAGGGAUCUUUGUCCUCUGCACGGCUUCCUGUAGUCCAAACAGACGAAUGCAUGAGAUGGAGAUGGAAGGAGGCGAGUGAGGAGGCAGCGUAGAGCAGAACAGUAAUCCUGGAAAAGGAUCCUGGUCCAGUCGCUAUGGGGGAUGUGGUCCUACAACCUCCCCCCCAGGAUGUGUGGGUCCAGGAGUUGCCCAAGCACAUGUCCCACUCCUGGUGCAGUUCUGCAGUUCUCAACAGAGGUUGUUUUUCACCGAAUGAAGGUUUUUCCCUGAGAUUAACAAGUGGAAGAACAGCCCACGGGAGAUCACUCCUGGGUUCCCCAUCAUCUUGCAGGGGAAAAGGAUGAGUCAAGAGAGAACUCGAUUGGGCGGCACAGACAUCUUCCUGGAGAGAGCAGCCCCAGCACCAAGCGGUGCCUCGGUGAUGUAAGAAGAGGCAGGACAUGUCAGAGGAAACCCCCACAUGGCACAGCAGGCCCUGACCCAAAGCUGCACCAGUCACCAAAUUCUGAGAGCUACUGCUGGACCAACCACCGAGGGGUGGCUUUUCACACCUCUGCUAUGUGUGUCAGCUCUGAUGAGAGGUGCUUUCCCAGGGCAAGGCAAAUCCAAAGAGGGAAUGCGGAUGCAUGCUGUGUGGGGAAUGCUGAUGCGAUGAGGUAUUUGCAGAACCUGUAGUUUCUGGCUCUUGCUGCUUGGAACGAGGAUGCGAUUUUCCGAAUAGUCAAGAAAUAACACGAAGCAUUAAUCACAGGAGAGCCCUGUUAAUGAGCCCUGGAGAAUCCAGCAGUUGGGGCUGCCCAGGCAAGAGCCAAUGCGGGCAGUCUUGAGCACAGCAAAAGGGCUGUGUGAACCCUGGGGAGGGGAACCUCAUGGGGCUAUGGCAGGAGAGGGGUGGGUGCUGGCAGGGUCUAGUGGGGCCAAGAUGUGCUGGAGGGAGAGAAGGAAGGGCAGGCUGUGGGCAAGGGCUGGGAAACAGAGAUCAAUUGGUUCUUAUUUAUCUCCUCCAUUUGUUUUUUCAACCCUGUUUGUGUCUUUCUGUGUGGCUGCUGAGGUGAAUGUUGUGAACAAGAGAUACAUCCUGACAAAAGGGCUCACAUGGCUGCUUGGCUCAAGAGUUCCCUGAACGGUUUGGAUCCAGAGAGCCUUCACUGCUCUUUCCAAGGUGAGCCUCAUAUCAGCUAAGGGUGUGCUCCGAAAGAGCCAGACAGACACUGUGGCUCUUGCAAGAGAGCUCAGUGCCUCCUUCUGCUUCAUCAUUUACUCUGAUGGAGCUCAAUGCAUGAGAAACAGUCUGAACACGUGGGAGCACACAGGUGUGCAGGUGAGCAGGCCCUGAAGAUGAAGAGUGUGUACUGCCCCAUGAAUGAAUGCAAGUGUUUUUGUGUAAGUGGAAAGCAAAAUGACAAACCAUCUACUUCCAUAAAUAACAGUUCAGAUUGGUGCUGAGGGGAUGGCAGUACUUGCAAGUUUAGGAUACAUUAUCCCUGUGAAAGCAAUGCCUGUGCUUGCUUUGCAUACCGUACUCAUCCAGUUGUAUCUGCAAGCUCUUGUUCAGCCACUGUUUCAUGUCAGCUAAUUGCUCCCCACAAAGUGUCUUCUCUUUGGCCGGCUCUCCCAAUGUCUGAGCCCAAUGACAUCUUGAUGUAGCCCAGCUCUAUAUGCAAAACCUUGCACAGCCAUCGUGUCAGCUUUGUGGGCCCCUGUGACAGGUCCUUUCUUAAGGUCCUCUCAUCUUGGCAAUAGCAGGUGAGGGCUCUUGCCUCUGUUUUCACUGGCUGCUCCUCAUACUGCUACAAACCAGAGAGAAGCAGGGUCUUCAUCUCUGCUCCAAAAGGAGAUCAGCCACAGAAUGGGAAAUAGAGAAGUGGCAGAAGGCCCAGCAAGAAGAUGAUUUGGCUGGAAAUUUUCAUCUGGGAGAGCAUAUACAACAGGCCAGGGGAGAUUCUGCAGGAAGGGAACCUUGGGAGUGUCUAAAGCACAGAGAUGGAGGUGAUGGAGAGCAGAAGCCCAUCCCAGUCAUGGCCUCCAGCCUGAGUGGUCCAGGAUGUCCUCAGCUGGGCAGACCCUGUUGUCUGCUCAAGCUCUGGAUGGAUCGAUUCCACUGCUUCUGCUAAGUGGAAUGAGCCUUGUGAAGCUCUGUUCCUUCACUCCCAGACAUGCAGAGGACAGAGGACGCAAUGCGGAUCGCAGUGCUCUGUAGCAUAUCUCCUUAGCUGUCCCUGGGGAGAUAAGGGCUCUGGUGCAGAUUCUGCCUUCUGCCCGGUGUCACGGGGCUGUCUGGCACUUUGCAAGAAGAAAAAAUGAUGUGCCUGCCACUGAAAGGUACAGUUUGUGUUACACCAAGGACAGAGUGACGAGAGAGAACACAGAGUGCAGGCAGAGAGGGUGAACUGUCCAUUACAGGAUCCGCUUUCAUGCAUCUAUCUCACAGGCUGGGGCUGAGCUCAGGUUUUUGUGACCCCGCUGUGGCUCCUGCCCUUGGUGCUGCCUUCCUGCUUGCAGGGCUGGAGCUGCAGCUUGGCCCCGAUGCAUUGGGAACUGUUUGUCCUGACCAUACGAGUGGGCAGAUCUGGGAUCAGGCUUUGCUGAUUCUACUCCGAGGAAUAGGAGGGAAGGAAGCAAUUUCUGUAAAUUUAGCAAGAAGGUCCUUACAUCUAAUUGCUGGAAGUGGUUAGGGAAGCUGACAGACUAUAAUCGGCGUCGCGACUUUCUUCCGGCUCAUCAACAAAGGCAGAGCUCCUCUGCAGCACUCAGCACCACUCCAGUGCAGCCCAGAGAGAAGGGACAGUGCUGUAGCUUUGUGUUAAUUGGGAAUAAGAAAGGGUGGCAGAGCUCUAACAAGCAGAAUGAGCACCAGCUGUGGUUGCCAGGUCCCUUAUUUCUGAGAAAACGUUCUUGAAAUGUGGUCUCUCCAUCAGGCUUUAGGGAAUUUCAGCUGUGUGGCACUGAGUGGCAGUCCCUUUGCUCUGCCAUGGCCACCAUCUUUUCUCUGCCCUUUACACCACUCACUGCUGCCCCGUGGGGAGCUUGCACCCUGACCCUGAGAUAGCUUGCAAUUACAGACUGAGUCAGCCAAGCACACCCCAGAGGUGUUAUCCCUGGAUGCACAGGCUGAGACAAGAAGAGACUUUUCCUUGCAGCCUCCCACAGGCGCUGGCUCCUUCCAGAUCAGGGUGAUGUACUGUACUGUGGCACUGAACCACAGCUCCUUCGGCAACUGCCUGCAGCCCAAACUCCUUCUGUGAGCAGGUGACUGCCUGGUCUACCCAGACCACGUUGCCUCAAGUUGCACCAGGGGAUGGUCAGGUUGGGUAUUAGGAAAAUCUCCUCUGAAAUAGCAAUAAUGCAUUGGCACAUUCUGCCCAGGGAGUGGUGGGGUCACCAUCCCAGGAUGGUGGAGAUGUGGCACUGAGGGAUGUGGACAUGGUGGGGGUGGGCUGGGGUUGGACUGGGUGAUCUUAGAGGUCUUUCCCAACUGUAAUGAUUCAAUGAUUCGUGGCAGACGAAGGUUACAGGACAAUGGGGAAGGGUGGCACUGCUCCCUGCUUGGGAGCAGGGGCACUGAUCAGAGCAGGCUGCAGCCCCUCCUUGACCAGCUGUCACAGUUUCAUGGGCAGUCCCAGUUUGUUCUGUCCUGGAUGGAGAUGCCUGAUACCUUCCAACCCUGUGAUUCUGCUCUUUAACCAAUGAUCACACUCUGCUUCAUCAGUCCCUGAACCAUUGUGACGGCUUCUCUAUCUGUAGGAUAGCAUUGUUGGGCAUUGCUGCACAUGAAGACAGUUCUCCACUGUCACAACCUCAUGGUGCUCUGGCCCUAUUCCUCAGUGAUCUUGUAAGUUCAGUUCACAAUUACUCUGUCCUGUGAGUGAUUGAGUGAUAAAAUAUGUGCUCUCCUGUAUUUUCCAACAUUCAGACCAACUGGGAUUACACCAAUGACCAUAAUUUUCCCUUUUAGCACUCUAGAAAACCCCUUGCAGUAGCUUGAAUCAUCUAAUUUGAUGGUCUGGAGUUUCCUCAGGCCAAAGCAAUGCAGAGGUCUAAGAUCUAUAGGGUCAAAGACUCUACACCCUUUGUCCUCUGCAGGGAUUCUCUGGUCAAGGGAAGAUUUAGGUUAAAUGGGACGAGGAAAUUCUUCUCUCGGAGGGCAGUGAGGCAUGACACUGCUGCCCAGAGCUGUGGGUGCCUGGGGCCAUGGAUGGGCUCUGGGCAGCCCGACCUGGUGGGGGGCACCCAGCCCAUGGCAGGGGUUAGAGCUGGGUGGGCUCUGAGUUCACUUCCAGCCCAACCAUUCUGCGAUUCUGUGAUUCUAUGACAUAAACUGGGCAGGUGAUGUGGGUGUGGGGAUAUGCAGGGGGCUGAGACCACCCAGAGGAGAUCAGCUACUGUUCUGGCAAAAUCUCUACUAAGGGUGAAACUUCUACCUUAACUUCCUACAGUUAGCUGAAUGGCAGCUACUUGCAGUUCCAGGUAAACACUGGGAAGAGCUCCAAGUGCUUGCGUUGCUCAGACAGAGACUGCUGUGAAGGAAAGGUUUAGUCCCUUGUGAGCAAUUUCCCAUUAAAACGGAAUUUGAAAAGUUUCAUUCUGAUGCCAGUAGCAAACACAGGCAAAUGUGGUCAUUCCCCUUAAUGGGAAGGAAAACCCUUGGGACUAGCUAGAGAAUGAGCUUGUAGAUACACAACAGCCAGGUGAGGACUCAUCCAGUUCCUCCCAAGGCCACAGAGGUCCUUGUGGUACCUUGCUUAGCAAGCAUCCUGCAAUUUAGAAUACAAAACAACAUCUCCUGUGCUGUUAGGUAACAAGACAGCGUGAAGGUGUGGUAGGAGUGAGUGUGAACAGGCUGAAUCACCAGGCAGGAGGUGGAGAAUCAUGGCUGGGAGAAGGUGCUGUGAUGGGGGGGACCUGAUUGUCCCCUGUGACCCCAGUAGGUGGACUGCAGGGCCACCUGGAUUACUGGCAGGGCAGAAGAAAGGAGCCCUUGGGAUCUAGACAGGAGCGUGGACAGAAGCUGGGCCAUGGUGACAUGACCUCGUGGCCAUUGGGAUCAAUGGCUAACAAGGGACAGCCAGGCAGGAGCUGGCAUGACAUGGCAUGGCAUGCCUGGUGGGUCAAUGGAAGGUGGAUGUAAAACAACUCUGGGCUACCCAACAGCUGCACUGUUAUCAGGAUAUGUCCAGGGAGUGGGCGAUGAGUGGGUUUCCAGCAUGAGGCAUGUCCUGGGCCCCUUCUUCCUGCUCUUGCACGCCCAAGGCCAUCUUCCUAGGCAGUGAAAGCAGAGAUGUAGGGUCUGAUGUCCCCUGCAUCCACAUAACCAAAACAAAGCCAUAACAGAGGCAUACACAGAGGCUAAGCAAGACAAAACAACAACAACAACAACAACAA